Molecule: ribosomal RNA, 506 nt
Filed under: uncultured bacterium
Lineage: Bacteria
Description: partial 16S ribosomal RNA
Rfam family: Bacterial small subunit ribosomal RNA
Source: RNAcentral
AGUGAACGCUGGCGGUAGGCCUAACACAUGCAAGUCGAACGGCAGCACAGAGGAGCUUGCUCCUUGGGUGGCGAGUGGCGGACGGGUGAGGAAUACAUUGGAAUCUACUCUGUCGUGGGGGAUAACGUAGGGAAACUUACGCUAAUACCGCAUACGACCUACGGGUGAAAGCAGGGGAUCUUCGGACCUUGCGCGAUUGAAUGAGUCGAUGUCGGAUUAGCUAGUUGGCGGGGUAAAGGCCCACCAAGGCGACGAUCCGUAGCUGGUCUGAGGGGGUGGACAGCCAAACAGGAACUGAGACACGGUCCAGACUCCUACGGGAGGCAGCAGUGGGGAAUAUUGGACAAUGGGCGCAAGCCUGAUCCAGCCAUACCGCGUGGGUGAAGAAGGCCUUCGGGUUGUAAAGCCCUUUUGUUGGGAAAGAAAUACAUCUGGUUAAUACCCGGGUGGGAUGACGGUACCCAAAGAAUAAGCACCGGCUAACUUCGUGCCAGCCGCCGCGGUAA